AGCAGCAGCAGCGCGACCACGAGCUUGGAUUUGGGAAAGAUCGUGCCGACGACCGGCUUCCUCCACUGCCGCGCCGCCGUCCUCAGCGCCCCUGUUCUCUGGGGGAGGACCGCGAGCGGGCGGUGCGGCCUCACCGUCUCGGUCUCGUCCCCCAAUGGUGCAGCUGGGCUCUCCGCAUUGAGUGACUCGGAGAAGAAAUGCAGGAGCUCAUGGACAGCAUCCGUGUCAUCAGCCUCAAAGUACCCGUGGGCUUUCCUUUCCUUUAACAUUAAUUUUUCCAAAUUUAUUUUCUUUUAGCUCAUAAGAUAAAUUAUGUCAGAAAUAGAAUUUUCUUAUGUGGAAUUGAGUACAUACAAAUAAAGUUAUAUAGAGUAGCUAAUACAUGGCCGACCACUGCUACUGAAUUCAGUGAUCUCCACACAGUUGUCUGAGGACGUUUGUGCUAUGGUUGAUUGAGAUUCACUUGAUUGAGUAUGCACGUCAAUAUUCAAGUUGGGUUGUUCA
Molecule: long non-coding RNA, 504 nt
Organism: Triticum dicoccoides
Lineage: Eukaryota; Viridiplantae; Streptophyta; Magnoliopsida; Poales; Poaceae
Exons: 2
Source: RefSeq, a predicted model, not a curated record